RNAcentral lists this ribosomal RNA (358 nucleotides) under uncultured bacterium. RNAcentral describes it as "partial 16S ribosomal RNA". It matches the Rfam family "Bacterial small subunit ribosomal RNA", at positions 338 to 693 of the family's 1533-position model. The record is from RNAcentral.
CCUACGGGUGGCAGCAGUGAGGAAUAUUGGUCAAUGGGCUUACGCCUGAACCAGCCAAGUCGCGUGAGGGAAGACUGCCCUAUGGGUUGUAAACCUCUUUUGUCAGGGAGCAAUUGGCGCUACGUGUAGCGUUAUCGAGAGUACCUGAAGAAAAAGCAUCGGCUAACUCCGUGCCAGCAGCCGCGGUAAUACGGAGGAUGCGAGCGUUAUCCGGAUUUAUUGGGGUUAAAGGGUGCGUAGGCGGAAUGCCAAGUCCGCGGUAAAAUCGCGGGGCUCAACCGCGCUCCGCCGUUGAAACUGGCGUUUUGGAGUGGGCGAGAAGUAGGCGGAAGGCGUGGGGUAGGGGUGAAAGGCAUAG